UGGAGUGCAGUUUCGCUCUAUUGCACAGAACCUGCAGAAAAUAAUAACUAAAGCAGAAAUAUCGAGUUUUUCUUUAUUUUUUCGUUUGGCUAUUAGCAACCAUGGUAACAUUCUAACAUCAGCUAUAUAAGAAGUAGCCAUACAGAUAACAUGAGUUCCUUAUAUAAUUCAACUGCAUUGCAAUAUAUUAUACAAAAACAUGUGGAGGCGAGAGGAGUGCAACUACAUACAAAAACUGGGGAAAAGAUUGGUAGCCCAUGUUGGAUGCACAGGUUUAACGCUAAUUAAUUCGGUAAUCAAACACAACACAAAGUAUUGGCUUCGCAUCAAUCAAUCGAUAAUAGCAAUACAUAAAUAUAUAAAUAGUAAAUAAAAGAGGAUCUAGCAAGCAAGAUUGGGAGCAUCGAUAGAUGGCAAGAAAUGAUUGAUUUUGGCCUGACGAAACGAACAGAUCGACCACGGCCUCGCCUCACAUGCGUGGGGAAGUACCGGAUGACAGUGGCAUGGUCGCCGUGCAAUAACGCAGCGGCGCCCUCCUCGCGCCCACUCGNN
Molecule: long non-coding RNA, 552 nt
Filed under: Oryza brachyantha (malo sina)
Lineage: Eukaryota; Viridiplantae; Streptophyta; Magnoliopsida; Poales; Poaceae
Description: long non-coding RNA (OBRA_LNC001676)
Source: RNAcentral